GUGGCCUACGGGGGGCAGCAGUGGGGAAUAUUGCACAAUGGGGGAAACCCUGAUGCAGCAACGCCGCGUGAGUGAAGAAGGUUUUCGGGUUGUAAAAUUCUGUUAUAAGGGAAGAAAGGUGAUAGGAGGAAAUGACUAUCAAUUGACGGUACCUUAUGAGAAAGCCACGGCUAACUACGUGCCAGCAGCCGCGGUAAUACGUAGGUGGCAAGCGUUAUCCGGAAUUAUUGGGCGUAAAGAGCGCGCAGGUGGUUAAUUAAGUCUGAUGUGAAAGCCCACGGCUUAACCGUGGAGGGUCAUUGGAA
Molecule: ribosomal RNA, 305 nt
Filed under: uncultured bacterium
Lineage: Bacteria
Description: bacterial SSU rRNA
Rfam family: Bacterial small subunit ribosomal RNA
Source: RNAcentral